AUGUCGAACAUCUCAAAUAUGGACAAAGACUGCCCCAGUGAUCUAUUGAACUACUUCACCAAGAAGGUAGGAGAAAGACUAAGAGGGCAGGUUUUUCGAGUCAAUGCUCUUAUGGUGGUUAUGGGCAUCUUGAUGGGGUUCAUGGUCGGGAUAGGCACCUAUGGCCAUCGCUACCGGCACAUUCCAUUGAUCCGUUUCCUCUUCCUGGCUGCCACCACAUUGUUUCUGCCCAUUGUCUCUUAUAUUGUCUCUUCCAGUGAUUUAGACAAUUACAAGUCAACCACCAUUUGGAUGGAGACCAUAGUAGUGAAAUGUCGUGCACAAGCACUACACAUCAUCUUUGUCCUUAUAUGGACGGCUCUUGUUCUGAAUGUUGGUAUAAAUACCACUGCACUAGUUGCCGCCGAUGCUAGAGAAGGUCGAAGCAUUCCUCCCAAUAUGACGCUACUUAUCCAAGCAAUGUGGACCUCCUACCUAGGGAUAUACAUCUGCAUUGUACAGGAGAAGCCUUGUGGCUAUGAAUUAAAGUGGAUGUCCAACAGAGUGAGAGGUGAUAUGUACAACACAGUGAGAGGUGAUAUGUACAACAAGGGCUUAGUGACAUUUGACAAAGUUUGGCAGUUGAAUGACACACUUCUGAGAUCAAAAUCACUACAGCUGAAAGAACUAUGCUUUUCGUUCGCAUUAUUUAAACUGCUACGGUGUCGAAUUGCGAAAUACACAAUUACCGAGGUUGGUUUCAUCAAGGGCAGUAACUUCUUACGACAAAUCUUGGUUGAGGAUAAUGAUGGUGAAAGAGUACUUGCGGUGAUUGCACAUGAGCUUUCUUUUCUCCAUGACUAUUAUUAUUCAUCACUUCCAAUCAUAUAUUCAAAGAGUUGGCUUCCAAUCGUGAGCGGAUUCAUUUCACUACUAAGCAUAUGUUACUGCUUGCCAGCCAUAAUUCUUAUUGCUGCCCUGGGGAAAGUAUCUGGGAUAGGGCAGAUUGACUGUGAUGUGUACUGCGAGGGUAUUUCUUAUGACGAUCAAGUUAGUUCAAUAUCUUUUGGAAGUAUGUACUUUGAUAUCAUACCAUUGUAUAUACUUGCUGCACUAGUUAUACUUGCCGAGGUGAGGGACAUUGCAUUUUACAUCCGCUCUAACUGGAUUAAAGUUGCCUUGAUAUGUCAAUAUGUGAAGCAUGGUUCCUGGCGACAAUCCGCUACCAUCCAGAGAUGUGUUGGUUGUGUGCUACGGAGCAAAGGCAAGUUGAUAAGGAAUUGGGAGGACAAAAUGGGCCAGUCCUCAGUUUUGGUGCUCCACCCAAGCAAAACUCCAAUGGCUCUUCUUCGGCAUCUCAUUCAUUUGUCAGGCCAAAAUACGAAGACACCAAGUGCAGUCAAAUCUGCUAUUGUCGGUGCAUUGAGAAAAGGUUACGAGAGAGGGCAAAUCAAUGGUGAUGUACCCUCUUUCCAAAGGAUCCUACAUCUGCAAGACGACGACAAGAUCAUUUGGACAUUUGGGGAAAGAGGUACGGCUGAAAUCAUGCUUGUGUGUCACAUUGCUACCACAAUCCUUGGAGCAAGGUUACCAACACAUCAACCUCCAUCAGACACUGACCAUAUCUCUGCUGCAAAUCAUAUAUCACAAUAUUGCGCCUACCUGGUGGCACACUAUCCUGAGCUACUACCUGAAGAUGAUGAAUGGUGCAAGAGCCUGUACAAGGCCGUCGAGAAAGAUGCCAAGCGUGUACUCAUUGGCAAUGAUUCGAUGUCUGAAGUUGAGUACUGGAGGAGGUUGAUUCAGUUGCUAAGCGCAGAGCGUAACCAUGAGGUGCUCAAGGAUGGCGCGAGGCUUGCAGAGCAAUUGGCUGAAGAAGGGGAGGAGGCAGCUUGGAAGGCGCUCGCUGCGUUUUGGUCGGACAUGAUCCUGUAUGUCGCUCCAUCGGACAACAUUGACGGUCAUAUGGAGGCGAUCGCCCGCGGCGGCGAGCUGAUAACCCUCCUCUGGGCUUUGGUCACCCACCUCGGCAUCGUCGGCAGGUCAGACAACACCACUGAUGCUGCUACCGUUGACGUUUAA
RNAcentral lists this ribosomal RNA (2061 nucleotides) under Triticum aestivum (bread wheat). RNAcentral's name for it is "partial small subunit ribosomal RNA". The record is from RNAcentral. Lineage: Eukaryota; Viridiplantae; Streptophyta; Magnoliopsida; Poales; Poaceae.